Non-coding RNA from Vicugna pacos (alpaca), 369 nucleotides. NCBI's taxonomy places the organism in Eukaryota, Metazoa, Chordata, Mammalia, Artiodactyla, Camelidae. The record is from RefSeq and is a predicted model, not a curated record.
UGCGUGCGCAGGUCAAAGCGGUCAGUGUUGUCUCUGAAUAAUCUGUGUGACUGCACCCUCUAGGUGAAGCGUCACCUUUGCCCUCGGGACCGGAGGAGGACGCACGCACCCCUGGCGAGGAGGCAGGGGUGCCCGAGCCAGAAACCGAACGGGAAGACACCCGUCCUGAGAUUAACGUAGCUGACGAAGGUGCUCCGGAGGAGCCAACCGAGGACGAGACAUUGAGGUCUGUGCUCGCAGCAGACCAGCCUGACAUGUCCGGUGACACAUCGGGACAAGAGGAAGACACGGCGUCCCCUGACGAGCAGGAAGGGGUGCCCGAGCCGGAAACCGAACGGGAAGACACCCGUCCUGAGACGAACGUCGCUG